Molecule: ribosomal RNA, 363 nt
Filed under: Alosa pseudoharengus (alewife)
Lineage: Eukaryota; Metazoa; Chordata; Actinopteri; Clupeiformes; Clupeidae
Description: partial 12S ribosomal RNA
Rfam family: Bacterial small subunit ribosomal RNA
Source: RNAcentral
GCCCCGCCGUAAACUUAGAUAUUCCAGUACAACAAAUAUCCGCCAGGGGACUACGAGCGCCAGCUUAAAACCCAAAGGACUUGGCGGUGCUUCAGACCCCCCUAGAGGAGCCUGUUCUAGAACCGAUAACCCCCGUUCAACCUCACUACUCCUUGCUUUUCCCGCCUAUAUACCACCGUCGCCAGCUUACCCUGUGAAGGUACUACAGUAAGCAGAAUGAGUAAUACUCAAAACGUCAGGUCGAGGUGUAGCGUACGAAGUAGGAAGAAAUGGGCUACACUAUCUGAUCCAGAUUAUUCACGGAAGGUUGUCUGAAACGACAAUCCGAAGGUGGAUUUAGCAGUAAAGGGGGAAUAGAGUGCC